This 3167-nucleotide long non-coding RNA is filed under the name Sus scrofa (pig). Its description in RNAcentral is "lncRNA (ENSSSCG00000061309.1)". The record is from RNAcentral. Lineage: Eukaryota; Metazoa; Chordata; Mammalia; Artiodactyla; Suidae.
UGCAGCCCGAAAAAGACAAAAGACAAAAAUAAAUAAAUUAAUUAAUUAAAUAAAUAAGAUACAAAAGUCAUCCUUUGUUACCUGCAGGUGAUUGGUUCCAGGACUGUCCCCCUAACUUCGCUCUCUCACCAUCUAUCCCUUCAACCUUCCCAACCCGAAUCCAGGAUGCUCAUGUCUUUUAUAUUAAAUGGCAUAAUAUAUGCAUAUAAACUUCACACAUCCUCCUGUACACUUUAAAUCAUUUCUAGAUUAAUUACAACACCUAAUACAAAGCAAAUGCUAUGUUUGAUAGUCACCAGUGGGCAAAUUCAUGUUUUACUUUUUGGAACUUUCUGAAACUUUUUUCCCCAAAUAUCUUUGCCACUCUUCCUAGAGAGAGGUGGCGGUUCAUGUCACAUCCCCUGGAAAGCAGGCCCGUUUUAUGCGUAGUUGACAAAGAUCACAAAGUAAGCAAAUGUUGGAGCCCGGAAUCACAUCCAAACCUUCUAAAUUCAGAUCUUGACUUUUUAAUUCCUUGGCUGUGCCAAAGCUGGAUAUCAAUCAAAACACUGUGAUUCCAACUUACUACAUUGCAUCAACCUUACAACAGAUACAGAUGGAUCAAGGAAUCAAAGUUUAGGGACAUUCAGAUUUAAUGGUUUUAUUGUAGAGGUUUAUAUUCCCGGAAAGGUCAUUAUCAUCUGCAUGGGUGACAUUUUACAGUUUUGCAACCUCCUGUGACAUUUCUUUAAUGAAUAAAAGGUGGUAAGUGAUUAGUAUCUAGAGAACAAUAGAACAAUUGAACUAGAAAUGUCAAUCACAGGAAAAGGUCAAUAAUCAAAAUAGUUCAAGAACCUUUUCUGAAUCUGAGGAGAGACAUAUUUUGGAAUUCACACCUAUUUUGCUUACAAAUCAUUACAGCUCAUACGUAUUUGCAUCAGGUAACAUAUUAAAGUGAAUGGCAUCUUAGACAUUUGUUUCUUUUCUUCUCAGUUUAACACAGUACGGUAAAUGACCCAUAAAGAAGAAAAAGAAAUAUUAUUUUUCAAUCAAAAAGUUUAUAAAUAUGCAAACGAUAUUAUGUCUAGCAGAGCAUGUUAAAAAAAAGGAGUUUACAACAUUUUCUUAAUGGAAAUUUUAUGACGCUUUUAGAGGGAGUUUGGUUCCUGAGAAUGAUUAACAUUUUAUUCUAUUAUAUUCUGUAACCAGUGUUUCUGAUGAUUCUCACCACUUCCGUAUUAACAUUAUCCUAAAUGUUAGAAGGUGUUAUGGCAAAGACCAAACCCCAUGGUCUUUAUGAAACUUUAGUGAUUAAACUUGAGGGAUGAUGGAGAUUGUCUUUUUAAUGAUGUCAUAAUAUAUUCUAAUUCUUUGAAGGCUAUAGCUUUAAUUGUGUAUUACUAGGUUUAAUCAUUAUAGCGUGUAUUAAUUAAAAUAGCGGUAACAGAAGAAUUCAUAGUCAACCCAAGAAAGCAUGUUUAGACCCUAAAUAGCUGGUGGGUGGGAAGGGUUCCACUCCACACAGUCACUUGGGGAUCUAGGCUUCUGCCAUCUCUAGGAUCUCAAAGACAUUGGCCACCUUCCUUGCCUUAGGCCAAUGGAUGAGGAAAGGGAUGGUAGGAUGAUUACGUGGGAGGCUAUUAGGGAUUUUGCUUACUUUUUACUAACUAGGGAUAAGUCACAUAUUCCACUUACUGCAAUAGAGCUGGGAAAUGUAGUUUACCUGUGUAUCCAGGAAGAAAAAUAAAUCAUGUAUUGUUGACAUAUAGGGUACAUAUUCAUUGUACAUUUUGAUGAAUCCCUUCAUUGUGAAUAUAGCUUUAAAAAAAAGAGCUAUAUUUUCUUUCUUUUUUUAAAUAGCCAAUUCCUGGGUUAGGGGUCCAGUCGGAGCUGCAGCUGUAGGUCUAAACCACAGCCACAGCCACAUGGGAUCCUUAACCUAUUGAGUGAGGCCAGGAAUUGAACCAGCAUCCUCACUGACACUAUGUUGGUUCCCCUGAGCCACAGUGGGAACUCCAGGAAGUAUAUGUUCUAGCAUCAGUGUCCUGAGUAUGUAGGCAUGUGCCUUGGCUUUGCUAAUUAGACACUUCUGUAUGAGAUUUUGACAUGAGAGCUAUGUCAGGAUAGACAAAUAUGAUGAAACAUGGUGAACAUGCAGCAUGUUUCUCGGGUCAGUGCGGGUGGUGGCCUUUAAGUGUCAUAGCUAGCGUGGGUCCUUUUAUUUGAAGGUUCCUCCUAUCCCAUGGCCCACCCAUCUCAUGGCCCCUCCAGUAAGAUGGCUCCUCCUGUCUCAUGGUCCCACCCAUCUUAUGGCUCCCCCAAUAACAUGGUUUCCCUUCUCCCAUGGCUCUUCUGGGAAGAUAACUCAGCCUAGCCUAUGGUCCCGCCCACAAGAUGGCCCCUCCCAUCUCGAGUCCUGCCCAUCUCCUGGCUUCUCCAAAAAGAUGGCUCCUCCUAAUCCAUGGUUUCUCCCAGAAGAUGGCUUCUCCUGUAACAGGCAGAUCUUGAAAACAAAGCAUAUGUCCAUCAACAGGUAAAUAAACAAUAUGUGGUAGUUCAUAUGAAGGAGUACUACUCAGCAUAAAAACAAUGAGGUAUUUUUAUAUGCUACAACGUUGACAAAUCUCUAAUUGUGCUGAGGAAAGAAACCUGAUGUAGGAAAGCACAUAGAAUUAUAUAAAAUUCUAUAAAGGAGAGCAGUAGUUGUCUGGGGAUAGGGGUUUAAGAGCCAAAUGUUUCUGAGGAAAAGCUACUUUUCUGAUGGUGCCAUGGAACCAAGAUUUAAAAUCAUAGUCUCCUCAAUUCUUUGGAGGCAUUUUGCUGUCUUCAUAGCUAUCCUUAUUCCCACACCCCAAGGCCAUUGAGUGUUGGGUUUUACUCUUUUGUUCUUACUCUUCCAUCCCCUGGCCAACUUUACUGUUGGGCAUUGCAGAUGCAAAGGGAAAGGAAAGAUACAUAAAAUUCUGGGGAAAAGACCUACUAUUUAGGGUCUUGGACUCAAGCCCUCCCUCCUCCCCAUUCAGCUACCUAAUCUGGGUAAGGCAGGCCACCUAAAACCCAUUUUCCUCAUCUGUGAAAACAGAGAGUGAUGAUCAAAUUUAACUCAUAAAGCAGUUUGUGAGGAUCUGAGGGCCAUCAAGGGAGUUUCCACCAGUUGUUUUUAAAAAAAUCAAUUCCCUUUAUAAAUC